AGGGUUUUCUUGAACUUUCUUUAUUUCUCCUCUACAGCUUUCUGUCCUAUUUUCCCUCUUUAACUCCACUUUUUUGCUCCAUUUUGUAAAGAGUUUUGUUUAAACUUUGUUGCGGGUGAUCUACCGGACGGCCGUAUGUUGCAUGUACAGAAUUCCUAUGUUGAAUCCUCUUCGUCAUUCCUAUGAUCUGAUUUUCCUUAUUAUUGGAACCUGUUGGACGUAGCUUUCUAAAAACUGAUUUCGUAGCUGAUAUUUCGUUGCAUACAUAAUAAAAGAAAGGAUGAAGAGUGCAUAUUUGAAUUGGUACCGUAUGUUGGUUUAGGAAUCUGGUGGCGUUGAUAUUAUCCAAAUAAUCUUGGUUUGAUCAUAUUGGGCAACAAGAGCCUUGAUAAUCUGUUCAUAUACAAGAUCCAGACAAAGCCAGAGAGUUGAGAGAAACACACACACACACACAAAGAUGAAGAAGAAGAAUAAGGUAGGAAGAUUACAAGGUAUGGAAUCAAACCGUUCCAAUAGAGAUCUCAUCACCGAUGCUCCUCAUAAGGUACUAUCCCUAAAAUUAUUGUGGAUCAACUACUGAUACAGAAUCACGUUACUCAUAGAGGCUAUAUUGCUCGAGGUCAUGAAAUUUGUCCACAACUAAUCAAUAUCGAGGUCAGCUACCUUCAAGUGACUAACAGGGAUAUUCGAUUGUAUUAUGGUAUAGAUCAUGCACAAAUAUCAUAGACAAAUUUUCUCCUGCUAGACUUCUGUUUAACUAUUUUUCCUCUUCAUUCUCUUCUUAAGUUAGAACACAUUCUUACUCUCAUUUUUUGAUGAAUUCCUUUUAUUCUAUGUCAUUGUACGAAUUAAUUUCUUAUAUAUCUUCAUUUACUACGUGAAAAAUUUAUGAAGAAGUUGACAAAAUUAAGAGUAAAAGCCAUAAUUUGGAGAACACCCUCAAUGGCUUUGACUUAUUACUAUUAUAUUGAUUGUUACGUAUGCAUAUACCAAGCAAAAAUUAGUAAAUGAAUAUGAAAUCGGAUUAUAGAUGCUAUGAUGAGAGAUGAGAGAAGCUAAUAAGAAGUUCAAAUUUUUUUAGGCAUGAUUGAAAAACAUCAUCAAUUUUCAGUGCAUUCAUGUAUAUUUGAUUACUAAUUCACUCUUUUUUUUCCUUGUGAAGGAAAUUUACAUGAAGACACAAUUGUAGAUUUUAUAAUGUCAACAAUCGCACUGUAGAUGGUCAUUAUAUUUUUUCAUAUCAUUAUUUUUAUUACACACCUUUCUUGCAUGUACCAUUAAUGUGUGCAUUGUAUGAACUCUUAUCAUUUCUCAUUAAACUUCCUUUGUGGAGAGGGAGAUUACUUAGUAAAUGCAGUGAGAAUGAUAACAUUGUGUCACACUGUGUAUAUCUAGGAGUCACAAAAUUGCAGAUGUACACUGAUAAGUAUCUGUACUUACUGAUUUUUGAUUAUUUUUUUCUGCAUUUGUCUCUUUUAUUAUAUAUGUAUAAUGUUUGAAGCUUUGCAUACAUGCAUCUCCAACUUCCUAGAUUGACUGAUAUUUAUAUGUUUUUCUCAGGUACCUCGACCUAUUUCUAUGCCAUGAUUUCUUGAAAUACGAAAGAUUGGCUACAAAGUUUCGGACUCCAACUGAAACACCUUACCAUUAUUAAAAUAGGAUAUGCUUAUGAUCUAAAUGAAGACUCAAAACAUUUGUUACAUUUUUGGUGUAUUAUGUCUAUUACAACUACGCUUGUAGACAAGUAGACGGGGAUUCCUUAUUGCAUUUUCAUAUCAUCCAGAGGCGUUGCUCUUAAAUUUA
Molecule: long non-coding RNA, 1803 nt
Organism: Solanum tuberosum (potato)
Lineage: Eukaryota; Viridiplantae; Streptophyta; Magnoliopsida; Solanales; Solanaceae
Exons: 4
Source: RefSeq, a predicted model, not a curated record